GUUGAACGCUGGCGGCAUGCCUUACACAUGCAAGUCGAACGGCAGCACGGGUGCUUGCACCUGGUGGCGAGUGGCGAACGGGUGAGUAAUACAUCGGAACAUGUCCUGUAGUGGGGGAUAGCCCGGCGAAAGCCGGGUUAAUACCGCAUACGAUCUACGGAUGAAAGCGGGGGACCUUCGGGCCUCGCGCUAUAGGGUUGGCCGAUGGCUGAUUAGCUAGUUGGUGGGGUAAAGGCCUACCAAGGCGACGAUCAGUAGCUGGUCUGAGAGGACGACCAGCCACACUGGGACUGAGACACGGCCCAGACUCCUACGGGAGGCAGCAGUGGGGAAUUUUGGACAAUGGGCGAAAGCCUGAUCCAGCAAUGCGGCGUGUGUGAAGAAGGCCUUCGGGUUGUAAAGCACUUUUGUCCGGAAAGAAAUCCUUGGCCCUAAGACGGUCGGGGGAUGACGGUACCGGAAGAAUAAGCACCGGCUAACUACGUG
Molecule: ribosomal RNA, 486 nt
Filed under: uncultured bacterium
Lineage: Bacteria
Description: partial 16S ribosomal RNA
Rfam family: Bacterial small subunit ribosomal RNA
Source: RNAcentral